AAGGCCCAUAGCACACGGCGUUUUUUAAACGCGCUGACGACGCGCAGAGAACGCGCGUAUACACGAUUCAAACGAGAUUGGAUCGCAACCUUGUAACUUAAGCACACGGGGCGAUUAUAAAACCUGCCUCUUCUGCGCGUAUACGCGCAGGUACAGCGGUAAGACGCGCUGUAGUCGCUCGUACCUUUUGCGUUUUGAUCAGAGACUCCUCUUCUUCAGUUGUACAAUGGCGUCGGUUGAGACAACACUGCUUACUUUGGCUUUAGUACUUCUUUUAAAAAGUAAAAAACGUAAAAAAAAGCGAAUUUAUUGGAUAGAUCCAUUUACGAGUGAAAAAAGAUUGAGUGGUCAUUAUCAUACAACUUUUAAAAAAUUGGUAAUACAUAGAAGAUGGAAGAAAUUUUAUAAUUGUUAUCGAAUGUCAUAUUCGUCAUUCCAAGAACUUCUUUUGAUUCUAAAACCUGAGUUAACUCGUCAAAAUACAGCAAUGAGAUCAUGUAUAUCGGCAGAAGAACGUUUGCUCAUCACAUUGAGGUAUUUAGCUACGGGUUGCUAUUUCUCAGAUAUUCACUAUGACUUUAAGUGUGGACAAACGACGGCAGGCAUCAUAGUCCGUGAAACAGUGAAAAUAAUAUGGGAUAAAUUAAAAAACAUCUGUAUGCCAGAACCAACCGAGGAAUCACAUCUAAAAACUGCUGAAGGAUUUAUGAAAUACGCAAAUUUUCCCAAUCUACUUGGGGCUAUCGAUGGGAAACAUAUCAGAGUUAUAAAACCUCAACAUAGUGGAUCAGAGUAUUUUAAUUAUAAAAAAUAUUUUUCCAUCGUAUUGCUUGCAAUAUGUGACGCAAAUUACAGAUUUAUCGAUAUAGAUGUCGGAUGCUAUGGAAAGGCUGCAGACUCAACAAUAAAUGAAUGUAGUGAAUGGACCAAAAAGAUAAGGCAAGGAAAUUAUAAUAUACCAAAUGCGAGACCAAUAUCUAAUAAUGGAGUGCCAAUACCAUUUACGUUUGUUGGAGAUGAAGGCUUUGCAUUAUCUCAACAUUUACAGAGACCUUACGCUGGAAAAAUCUUGCCACGAGAGAAAAGAAUAUAUAAUUACCGCUUGACACGUGCCAGACGAUACAUUGAAUGUACAUUUGGUAUAUUAAGCAACAAAUUUAAAAUCUUUAAUCGGCCACUGAACGUUAGCGUGGACUUCAGUGUGGCUAUUGUGAAAGCCUGUUGUGUACUGCAUAAUUUCAUACGUGAACGUGACGGUUAUAAUUUUCAUAAUUCUUUGAGUAUAGUUGGUUUAGAAGAUCCUCCUGAAGAUGCAAGUUUGAUUUCGAUUGGUGCAAGACGGUCACAGGGACAAUUAAGCGGAACUAUGAUACGAAAUAUGUACGCUGAUUAUUUUAUUAGUGAUGAAGGUGCAGUACCAUGGCAAGAUUCUAAAA
Long non-coding RNA from Helicoverpa armigera (cotton bollworm), 1436 nucleotides. RefSeq lists it as uncharacterized. The transcript is spliced from 2 exons. The record is from RefSeq and is a predicted model, not a curated record. Lineage: Eukaryota; Metazoa; Arthropoda; Insecta; Lepidoptera; Noctuidae.